UUGUCCUUAUGCGUUGUAUAUAUUGCGGCCACAACGGAGAGCAAGGCAUCCACAGCGCACAAACCACAGCUAGCUGCACUUGCUAGCAAGUUGCAGUAUCCACAAUACUUUUACCAUGGGAAGUAGCACAAGGCGCUGCAGAGGGAGAAAGCUAUCAUGUUGCUUUAUCUUCCUCAACAUCUUCAAUUCCUGCAGGAGAUCAUCAUAUGACACAGCAGAUGAUGAUGCUGUGAAUGCAGCGGGUGACUAUCAAGGCAUUAUUUAUUGGGAAGUUGAACCUGGCAUUAACAGGAGAGCUUCUGACUUCAUCAAGAGAUUUCACGAAUCCCGUGUAUGAAUAUUGCUGUUUGCCGAAUUCAACUUGAUCAUGUGCCAUGCAUUUACGGUAUCUGGAGUAGGCCGUGUUUAAUUUCCCAUGCUCAAAAAAUUCGCUUGAAUAAUUGUAGCAUAACCUUUUCAUGCUUGUGAGGCAACUGAUCUCUACUCUAUGUCUUUAAUUUUUAUUUCAUUCUGGCUCCGCAGCAGGAUCCGGAUAAACUUAAAUUUGUAAGCCUCAUGAUGAUACUUCAAACUGUCUUUUCCUAGUUCAUAUAGCAGAAGCCUUGUAUCUACCUCAAACCAAGCAAGAGCAGAAUGUUUUAAUAAUUAGGAGUGUAAAUUAAUUGUUUUUAAGCGC
RNAcentral lists this long non-coding RNA (676 nucleotides) under Theobroma cacao (cacao). RNAcentral's name for it is "long non-coding RNA (TCAC_LNC002792)". The record is from RNAcentral. Lineage: Eukaryota; Viridiplantae; Streptophyta; Magnoliopsida; Malvales; Malvaceae.